This 210-nucleotide ribosomal RNA is filed under the name uncultured bacterium. RNAcentral describes it as "partial 16S ribosomal RNA". It matches the Rfam family "Bacterial small subunit ribosomal RNA", at positions 30 to 234 of the family's 1533-position model. The record is from RNAcentral.
AUUGAACGCUGGCGGCGUGCUUAACACAUGCAAGUCGAUCGGUAACAGGUGUAGCAAUACAUGCUGACGAGAGGCGGACGGGUGAGUAAUGCUUGGGAAUCUGCCUAUUAGUGGGGGACGAACCCGGGGAAACGUACGGGCGUAAUACCGCAUACGCUCUACGGAGGAAAGCCGGGGACCGCAAGGCCUGGCGCUCAUAGAUGAGCCCAA